AACUUUCAACAACGGAUCUCUUGGUUCCGGCAUCGAUGAAGAACGCAGCGAAAUGCGAUAAGUAAUGUGAAUUGCAGAAUUCCGUGAAUCAUCGAAUCUUUGAACGCACAUUGCGCCCCCUGGUAUUCCGGGGGGCAUGCCUGUUCGAGCGUCAUUGCAAACCCCUCAAGCACG
This 174-nucleotide ribosomal RNA is filed under the name Aphanoascus mephitalis. RNAcentral's name for it is "5.8S ribosomal RNA". The stretch from base 1 to 154 matches the Rfam family "5.8S ribosomal RNA". From Rfam's summary of the family: 5.8S ribosomal RNA (5.8S rRNA) is a component of the large subunit of the eukaryotic ribosome. It is transcribed by RNA polymerase I as part of the 45S precursor that also contains 18S and 28S rRNA. The record is from RNAcentral. Lineage: Eukaryota; Fungi; Ascomycota; Eurotiomycetes; Onygenales; Onygenaceae. RNAcentral also lists the same sequence under 1 other name.